This 83-nucleotide transfer RNA is filed under the name Schistocephalus solidus. It matches the Rfam family "tRNA". From Rfam's summary of the family: Transfer RNA (tRNA) molecules are approximately 80 nucleotides in length. Their secondary structure includes four short double-helical elements and three loops (D, anti-codon, and T loops). The record is from Rfam by way of RNAcentral. Lineage: Eukaryota; Metazoa; Platyhelminthes; Cestoda; Diphyllobothriidea; Diphyllobothriidae.
GGUCUUGUAGCUCAGUUGGCUAGAGCAUUGGCUGUACUGAAAACUUCCCAUUGCUGGCGUGGUUUCGAAUCCCCCCGGGGCCA